This 384-nucleotide ribosomal RNA is filed under the name uncultured Prevotella sp. RNAcentral's name for it is "bacterial SSU rRNA". It matches the Rfam family "Bacterial small subunit ribosomal RNA", at positions 143 to 525 of the family's 1533-position model. The record is from RNAcentral. Lineage: Bacteria; Pseudomonadati; Bacteroidota; Bacteroidia; Bacteroidales; Prevotellaceae.
AUAACCCGUUGAAAGACGGCCUAAUACCGUAUGACGUCGUUUGCCGACAUCGAAAAGACGACCAAAGGUUUGGCGGUGAUGGAUGGGGAUGCGUCUGAUUAGCUUGUUGGCGGGUAACGGCCCACCAAGGCUACGAUCAGUAGGGGUUCUGAGAGGAAGGUCCCCCACAUUGGAACUGAGACACGGUCCAAACUCCUACGGGAGGCAGCAGUGAGGAAUAUUGGUCAAUGGGCGAGAGCCUGAACCAGCCAAGUAGCGUGCAGGAUGACGGCCCUAUGGGUUGUAAACUGCUUUACGCGGGGAUAAAGUGCGUGACGUGUCGCGCAUCGCAGGUACCGCGUGAAUAAGGACCGGCUAAUUCCCGUGCCAGCAGCCGCGGUAAAU